UCUGGGGUAUGGCAUAAGUAUGGAGAAGCCAUGACCUCAAU
Oryctolagus cuniculus (rabbit) is the source of this 41-nucleotide regulatory RNA element. It matches the Rfam family "MAT2A 3'UTR stem loop D". The record is from Rfam. NCBI's taxonomy places the organism in Eukaryota, Metazoa, Chordata, Mammalia, Lagomorpha, Leporidae.